RNAcentral lists this ribosomal RNA (369 nucleotides) under uncultured eukaryote. RNAcentral describes it as "partial 18S ribosomal RNA". It matches the Rfam family "Eukaryotic small subunit ribosomal RNA", at positions 592 to 975 of the family's 1831-position model. The record is from RNAcentral.
CAAUAGCGUAUAUUAACGUUGUUGCAGUUAAAAAGCUCGUAGUUGGAUUUCUGGUCGGAAGCUCCUGUCCUCUGAUGAGCGUACAAGUGCGUCCUACCAUCCUUCUGUUAACCUUUAAGGCUUUCGCGGCUUUCUAGGGGCUCAGAUAUUUUACCUUGAGAAAAUUAGAGUGUUUCAGGCAGGCUAGCGCCGGAAUACAUUAGCAUGGAAUAAUGGAAUAGGACUUUUGCCUCUUCUGUUGGUCAUGAGGCUCGAGUAAUGAUUAAUAGGGAUAGUUGGGGGCAUUAGUACUUAACUGUCAGAGGUGAAAUUCUCGGAUUUGUUAAAGACUAACUUAUGCGAAAGCAUUUGCCAAGGAUGUUUNCAUUA